Long non-coding RNA from Xyrauchen texanus (razorback sucker), 1013 nucleotides. RefSeq lists it as uncharacterized. The record is from RefSeq and is a predicted model, not a curated record. Lineage: Eukaryota; Metazoa; Chordata; Actinopteri; Cypriniformes; Catostomidae. The transcript is spliced from 4 exons.
UCAGAAUAACAUAGCCUUUGUGUCUGCUGUAAACACGUCAAGAUUCAUAUUAUAACAACAACGAGGAUAUUCGAGACAUGUAAAUGGCAGCAGUGUUUGAUAUGUAAGGAAUACAAACAGAUGAAUUUGUUCUUCAGCUCGGUUUAAGAUGAUUAAAUGAUAUAACAGAGAGUCUCAAUCAGUUAACGCUGCAGUUAUGGAGAUUGAUGAAGAUCUAGAGACUCUGGGAGAGAAACUGUAUGAUGUAAUACAUCCAAAAUACACAGAGAUGAGACCUAAACUUACAGGAUGAAGCUCUGUUGAGUGAAGCACUAGAGAAGACUGACUGCUCUCACAUCAUCAGUAAACAGGUGUAGGGCGGGCAAUGAAACAACAGAUGUGAAUGACGGCUCCGACCAAGAGGAUGUGGAGUCAACUGGCGAGAUGCUUUUCAGUAUUGUACAGCAGCUAGAUCCCGCCCACUGUGCUGACAUCACAGGAAGACGCUCUGAGCCAAACACACAAAUGUCAAAAUGAGGCCUGGGAAACUCUACAGAACAUGUGAUCUGGAAAACACAAUAUACUGCAUCAUCAAGAGAAACUUAGUUAUUUAGACUCUUGGUUAUUGAUAUUGCUGUACAUUUAACUUGCACAUCUAAAGACACUGUUUACAUGAACUUAGGCAAAUGCUAUUUUUGGGCUAUUUGCCACUUUAUAUUCAUAUAGAGUGUGAUCGGUUUCAAACCUACGUCUCCUGCAAGAGCACCACAGCACAACGUAUCUAGAGGCUUUGAUGUUCCACAAGCUCACAUUUAAGACAUUAUGUUUUUAGAUGAGAUGUCAUAAUCAGUGAUCAUUAAAGAUUUUUAUAUUUAAUUUGCUUUAAAAUUAAUAUAUCUUUGUAAAUAAUGCAAAUGGAAUAUAAUUUCAGGUUUUAACAUACAAAUUUGAGUCUUUUUUCACUCUGUGGCUUUGAAUGAGAUUAAUGCAAGUUCAACAUUGUUUUGCUAUUAACUAAUGAAAUAAUAAGUUGG